RNAcentral lists this ribosomal RNA (446 nucleotides) under uncultured bacterium. RNAcentral describes it as "partial 16S ribosomal RNA". It matches the Rfam family "Bacterial small subunit ribosomal RNA", at positions 338 to 795 of the family's 1533-position model. The record is from RNAcentral.
CCUACGGGAGGCAGCAGUCGAGAAUCAUUCACAAUGGGGGAAACCCUGAUGGUGCGACGCCGCGUGGGGGAAUGAAGGUCUUCGGAUUGUAAACCCCUGUCAUGUGGGAGCAAAUUAAAAAGAUAGUACCACAAGAGGAAGAGACAGCUAACUCUGUGCCAGCAGCCGCGGUAAUACAGAGGUCUCAAGCGUUGUUCGGAAUCACUGGGCGUAAAGCGUGCGUAGGCUGUUUCGUAAGUCGUGUGUGAAAGGGGCGGGCUCAACCCGCGGACGGCACCUGAUACUGCGAGACUAGAGUAAUGGAGGGGGAACCGGAAUUCUCGGUGUAGCAGUGAAAUGCGUAGAUAGCGAGAGGAACACUCGUGGCGAAGGCGGGUUCCUGGACAUUAACUGACGCUGAGGCACGAAGGCCAGGGGAGCGAAAGGGAUUAGAUACCCUUGUAGUC